Engraulis encrasicolus (European anchovy) is the source of this 517-nucleotide long non-coding RNA. RefSeq lists it as uncharacterized. Lineage: Eukaryota; Metazoa; Chordata; Actinopteri; Clupeiformes; Engraulidae. The transcript has 4 exons. The record is from RefSeq and is a predicted model, not a curated record.
GUUCCAAAGAUGUGGGUAAUGCUCUGGGCUUUGACUGUGCUGUUCCCCCUCCUUCUAGUUGUAGUUGCCAUGAUCUACAGAUUUAAAAGCCAUCAGACCAGAGAACAGAGAACACAAAAUAGGCCUACAAUACCAUGUGCUGUACCUCAAGAAUCGACAUUCCAAAAUACAACUGAAAUUACAUAUGCCUCAAUCAACACACAACAAAUCAACCAGAGAGAAAAUCAACAGAGACAUGUUCUGGAAAGAGUGAAGAGUGGAUCACAGGAUCAGCGUUCACCUGUGGAAGAGGAGCAAGUGCUCUAUUCAGCUGUCCGCUUAAAACAGGCGGCCUAAACCUGGACCUCCGGAAAGAGUGUAGUGUCAUUAUCAGGUCAAUAAAAUACACAAAGGUAUUUUCAAAUUAAAUUUCAGUCUUUGUGGGCUAUAGCUGCAUGAUGGGUUCGGCUAUAUUGAAGAAGGUCUACUACAUACCAAAAGAUAACGCUGACCUGCUAAAACAGGGAUGUCAAACUCA